This is a non-coding RNA of Pelobates cultripes (western spadefoot toad), 993 nucleotides long. The record is from the annotation of a GenBank genome assembly. Lineage: Eukaryota; Metazoa; Chordata; Amphibia; Anura; Pelobatidae.
UUAAAUACAUACAAACUUUAUUAAAAAUAGGUUACAAGUGAAAUACAGUAGAAAUUGAAAAUUACAGCAGUUGUAAUGUCUUCAAUAACAUAAUGCACAAUUAUGAAAAGCAUCUUUAUGUAUAUCAAGGAAACUGUCAUAUAGACAUCUGAUCUUGGGAUUUUUUAUUUUAAUUUUUAAAAUAAAUUUUUAUAGCAGCAACAAUAUGCAUUCUCAAUGAAAAUCAUUAACUGUUUGAACUUAAAUUAACUGGUAUAAUGUGAACUAUAGCGUGUCUGCCACUUUUUUUCCUUUUUUUAAUAGGUAGUCAGGAUAGGCUUGGCUAGGCCCAUGUUUUUCUUACAUAAACAGAAAAAGGAGACUCUCUGGGUACUUCAUAAACAUUUUCUAUGAUACAAUAUACAAAUGAGAUGUGUACAACAGUGACUGUACUUAAGACUGCUCAAAAGAAUUUACACAUCUAAAAAACACUCCAUUGUGAAUUUCUAAAAUCAAGGGAUUUUUAAGGGAUUUCAAAGGCGUCCUCUUCCAGCACUGUUUUAAUAUAGUACAGAUACAUUUUUUUCUGAUAAACCAUAUGGCUCAAAUGAUUAUUCAUUCGGUUUAUGUAUAUAUAAAAAAAAUACAACUUUAAGCCAAAAUAUACCGAAACCCCAAAAAUAAAUUUUCGGGAAAUAGUGAGGAAAAAAAUCUAGAAAGCAAGUGAUUAUAAAAACAAGGCUGAAAGAUAAAUAGACGGCACACUAUGUUCUAACUGUGAAUUGAGGACUAGAUGAUCAGUGGGUCUUCUUCAUAAUAUAUUUCAGUCUCAUUUUGCACAAGUCUCUUUCCAAAAAGACAAAAAUAGUUCAAAUGCAGAUACCUUCUUUGGAGCAAUAUGUAAAAUCGAAAGCAAGCUGCAAUUGCUGUAUAGGACAUGUUGGUAGCCAUUUCCUUACUUGCCCUUUUGCUUGAGCAAAUAACCACACCAGAAAAAAAAAUGAAAAAUUAUAU